AGAAUAAGCACCGGCUAACUACGUGCCAGCAGCCGCGGUAAUACGUAGGGUGCAAGCGUUAAUCGGAAUUACUGGGCGUAAAGCGUGCGCAGGCGGUUCUGUAAGACAGAUGUGAAAUCCCCGGGCUUAACCUGGGAAUUGCAUUUGUGACUGCAGGACUAGAGUUCAUCAGAGGGGGGUGGAAUUCCAAGUGUAGCAGUGAAAUGCGUAGAUAUUUGGAAGAACACCAAUGGCGAAGGCAGCCCCCUGGGAUGC
This 255-nucleotide ribosomal RNA is filed under the name Clostridioides sp. ZZV14-6044. Its description in RNAcentral is "partial 16S ribosomal RNA". It matches the Rfam family "Bacterial small subunit ribosomal RNA", at positions 483 to 737 of the family's 1533-position model. RNAcentral also lists the same sequence under 1 other name. Lineage: Bacteria; Bacillati; Bacillota; Clostridia; Peptostreptococcales; Peptostreptococcaceae. The record is from RNAcentral.